AUCCCAUCUGGAAGGAUAUAAUAGCUGAAAACCUUCUCUAUGCCUCACAGGUUCUCCUUUGUAACUAAACCGCUCUCUCGAAUUGGUGGUAGUGAAGUCCAUUCACUUUGUGAAGGUCCAGUGAUCUGGAAGGAAGCCUGGAACUCCUUGUGGCCUGAAUGUACUCAUAACCUCUUCCCUUGUGAGUCCCUGCCACAGUGGCGACGGAGAAACCACCCUGCUGGUCACUAGAAGGUGUGCAAUUGCUCCCCACUACAGACUCCUAGAAAGACAGUAUUCACCAUCUUCCGAGGCAAAUAUUAAUUACAUUAUUCUUACUGAGGUCUGAAGAGAGUCUACAACUUGGACCAGGUGUGGAGUGAGAGGUGGAGAGAAGAUUCAGACUCAAGAGUUUAACAUCAUCCUGACACUAAAAAAAUAUUGAAUAAAGAGCAGUUGGGUUGAAUUAAAUGUAGAUGAACAAAGGCUGCUGACCACCAACCAAUCUUCCCCCUCUGCCUGCUGACAUUUCCACCCCAGCCAUCACAAGACUGUCUUCAUAAUUUGCCUCUUCCACUUUCCCCUCCUAAGGAAAUGCUUGUCGUUAUGGGAAUCUGCCUGGUCCAAUGAACUGUAGUCAUUUGACCCCUAAAGAAAUUUGCAAGCAUUCUUUUCCUAGUGACUUCUGUGCUUACUGGGGGCUAAUAGUUUCCUUUACUGUCUCUGUUUGCUCUUAUUCCAUUCUUGUAUUUGGAGGUGUAGCCAAGGAUUCUUAAGAAAGGUAUGUAUGGAAUUUUUUUAUUGACCCCCCAGGACAACACUAUGGUAG
This is a long non-coding RNA of Leopardus geoffroyi (Geoffroy's cat), 808 nucleotides long. RefSeq lists it as uncharacterized. The record is from RefSeq and is a predicted model, not a curated record. NCBI's taxonomy places the organism in Eukaryota, Metazoa, Chordata, Mammalia, Carnivora, Felidae. The transcript has 3 exons.